This 305-nucleotide ribosomal RNA is filed under the name uncultured bacterium. RNAcentral's name for it is "bacterial SSU rRNA". It matches the Rfam family "Bacterial small subunit ribosomal RNA", at positions 336 to 659 of the family's 1533-position model. The record is from RNAcentral.
UUCCUACGGGGGGCAGCAGUGGGGAAUAUUGCACAAUGGGGGAAACCCUGAUGCAGCAACGCCGCGUGAGUGAAGAAGUCAUUCGUGAUGUAAAGCUCUAUCAGCAGGGAAGAAAAUGACGGUACCUGAGUAAGAAGCCCCGGCUAACUACGUGCCAGCAGCCGCGGUAAUACGUAGGGGGCAAGCGUUAUCCGGAUUUACUGGGUGUAAAGGGAGCGUAGACGGUCCGUUAAGUCAGCGGUAAAAUUGCGGGGCUCAACCCCGUCGAGCCGUUGAAACUGGUAGACUUGAGUUGGCGAGAAGUA